This 418-nucleotide ribosomal RNA is filed under the name uncultured prokaryote. Its description in RNAcentral is "bacterial SSU rRNA". It matches the Rfam family "Archaeal small subunit ribosomal RNA", at positions 455 to 873 of the family's 1478-position model. The record is from RNAcentral.
GUGUCAGCCGCCGCGGUAAAACCAGCACCUCAAGUGGUCAGGAUGAUUAUUGGGCCUAAAGCAUCCGUAGCCCGUUUUGUAAGUUUUCGGUUAAAUCCAUGCGCUUAACGUAUGGGCUGCCGGGAAUACUGCAUAACUAGGAAGUGGGAGAGGUAGACGGUACUCGGUAGGAAGGGGUAAAAUCCUUUGAUCUAUUGAUGACCACCUGUGGCGAAGGCGGUCUACCAGAACACGUUCGACGGUGAGGGAUGAAAGCUGGGGGAGCAAACCGGAUUAGAUACCCGGGUAGUCCCAGCUGUAAACUAUGCAAACUCAGUGAUGCAUUGGCUUAUGGCCAAUGCAGUGCUGCAGGGAAGCCGUUAAGUUUGCCGCCUGGGAAGUACGUACGCAAGUAUGAAACUUAAAGGAAUUGACGGGG